CCGCAUUGUUCUUCCUCUUUCUGUCUCUCUUGUGUUGUAAUCGAAUAUCGAGGGGUAAAGAUUGCAAACCCUAAAAAUCGACGAGGACAAGGGUUUAUUGAUCUGUAAUGACGCUGUAGCCAUUUUGCUGCACUUUUCUGUUGCUGUGGAUUUGGAUUCUUCCGCCAUCGUUACGAAUCCUAUUCGUUUCAGCAUUUUCUUGUGUGUUCAAGUUCAUCAUGGUAGCAACUGCUGCUACAUCCGCGUUUUAUCCUAUUUCUUCUUCGUCUUCGUCUUCUGACCCUAAAGUAAAGAACACCAAAAUUGGAGGUGGCUCUGGGAAUUUGGGGGGGUUCAAGUCUAAAUCUGUGUCUUCUGGAAGUCUUCGGGUGAAGACUAAUGCCCAAGCCCCUUCCAAAGUAACUGGAAGCUCAACUGGCUUCAAGGCUGGGGAUGACUUCAUAUCAUCUCACCCACGAACUUUUAUUAAUCAGCUGCCUGACUGGAGCAUGCUCCUUGCUGCUAUUACUACUAUCUUUUUAGCAGCUGAGAAGCAAUGGAUGAUGCUCGACUGGAAACCUAGACGGCCGGACAUGCUUAUAGAUCCGUUUGGUUUGGGAAGGAUCGUUCAGGAUGGUUUUGUGUAUACCCAAAAUUUCUCUAUUAGAUCCUACGAAAUUGGUGCUGAUCGUACAGCUUCUAUAGAGACUUUAAUGAAUCAUUUACAGGAAACUGCCCUUAAUCAUGUUAAGACUGUUGGGCUACUUGGAGAUGGAUUUGGUUCUACGCCAGAAAUGUGCAAAAAGAACCUGAUAUGGGUAGUUACCAAGAUGCAGAUUAUGGUAGACCGUUACCCUACUUGGGGUGAUACUGUUCAAGUAGACACUUGGGUCAGUGCUUCUGGAAGGAAUGGCAUGCGCCGUGAUUGGCUCGUGUAUGAUUGCAAAACUGGAGACAAUUUAACAAGAGCCUCCAGUACCUGGGUUAUGAUGAAUAAACAGACAAGAAAGUUAUCAAAGAUUCCUGAGGAAGUGAGGAGAGAAAUAGAGCCUAACUUUAUGAAUACUGCUCCUGUUAUCGAAGAUGAUGGCAGGAGACUUUCAAAAAUCGAUGACGAUACAGCUGAUUACGUUCGAAUGGGUUUGACUCCUAAGUGGAGUGAUUUAGAUGUCAACCAGCAUGUUAACAAUGUGAAGUACAUUGGGUGGAUUCUGGAGAGCGCCCCGCCACCGAUAUUAGAGAGUCAUGAACUUUCAUCCAUCACGUUGGAAUACCGGAGGGAAUGUGGGAGGGACAGUGUGCUGCAGUCCCUCACUGCUGCCACUGGCACGGACAGUGCAACUUCGUCAACUGCUGGUGUCGUUGACUACAAUCACUUGCUUCGGUUCGAUGAUGGGACCGAGGUUGUGAGAGGAAGAACACAGUGGCGACCCAAAUUUGGCAACAAAUUUACCAUCCUAGACCAUAUUUCAGCCGACCAUGGAAUUUAAGCUGCCUCGCUAGACCUCUCAACAGACCACAAUCCAUGAAGGCUAACUUUAUAUAAUGUGGGUGUUGCUCAGCCUGGUCGGUUGCUAUACAAUCAAUGUAUACCAACUGCCGGCUGACUGUCUCAGAGCAGGGGAUGGGAUGGGAUCAGGUCGGGUUCGGGUUCUUCUUGGAGAAUUUUUCGUUUCUACUGGAAUUAAUGAGACGAGUCUUAAGAUAUAUAAAUAUUUUGACUUACUGUUUAGUUUUUAA
This is a non-coding RNA of Cucurbita pepo subsp. pepo (vegetable marrow), 1719 nucleotides long. Lineage: Eukaryota; Viridiplantae; Streptophyta; Magnoliopsida; Cucurbitales; Cucurbitaceae. The record is from RefSeq and is a predicted model, not a curated record.